RNAcentral lists this transfer RNA (73 nucleotides) under Neptunitalea chrysea. RNAcentral's name for it is "tRNA-Cys". It matches the Rfam family "tRNA". Rfam says of the family: Transfer RNA (tRNA) molecules are approximately 80 nucleotides in length. Their secondary structure includes four short double-helical elements and three loops (D, anti-codon, and T loops). The record is from RNAcentral. Lineage: Bacteria; Pseudomonadati; Bacteroidota; Flavobacteriia; Flavobacteriales; Flavobacteriaceae.
GAUAAGGUGACUGAAUGGUUAGGUAACAGACUGCAAAUCUGUUUUAUAUGGGUUCGAAUCCCAUCCUUGUCUC